CCUACGGGUGGCUGCAGUGGGGAAUAUUGGACAAUGGGGGCAACCCUGAUCCAGCCAUGCCGCGUGUGUGAAGAAGGCCCUCGGGUUGUAAAGCACUUUCAGUGAGGAAGAACGCCUGGUGGUUAAUACCCAUCAGGAAAGACAUCACUCACAGAAGAAGCACCGGCUAACUCCGUGCCAGCAGCCGCGGAAAUACGGAGGGUGCGAGCGUUAAUCGGAAUUACUGGGCGUAAAGCGCGCGUAGGUGGCUUGAUAAGCCGGUUGUGAAAGCCCCGGGCUCAACCUGGGAACGGCAUCCGGAACUGUCAAGCUAGAGUGCAGGAGAGGAAGGUAGAAUUCCCGGUGUAGCGGUGAAAUGCGUAGAGAUCGGGAGGAAUACCAGUGGCGAAGGCGGCCUUCUGGACUGACACUGACACUGAGGUGCGAAAGCGUGAGUAGCAAACAGGAUUAGAUACCCUGGUAGUC
This 465-nucleotide ribosomal RNA is filed under the name Vreelandella stevensii. RNAcentral's name for it is "partial 16S ribosomal RNA". It matches the Rfam family "Bacterial small subunit ribosomal RNA", at positions 338 to 795 of the family's 1533-position model. The record is from RNAcentral. Lineage: Bacteria; Pseudomonadati; Pseudomonadota; Gammaproteobacteria; Oceanospirillales; Halomonadaceae.